GUAAUAUAUCGGAACGUACCUAGAAGUGGGGGAUAACGCAGCGAAAGUUGCGCUAAUACCGCAUAUUCUCUAAGGAGGAAAGUGGGGGCUCGCAAGACCUCAUGCUUUUAGAGCGGCCGAUAUCUGAUUAGCUAGUUGGUGAGGUAAAGGCUCACCAAGGCAUCGAUCAGUAGCUGGUCUGAGAGGACGACCAGCCACACUGGAACUGAGACACGGUCCAGACUCCUACGGGAGGCAGCAGUGGGGAAUUUUGGACAAUGGGCGCAAGCCUGAUCCAGCAAUGCCGCGUGAGUGAAGAAGGCCUUCGGGUUGUAAAGCUCUUUUGUCAGGGAAGAAACGGUGCUCUCUAAUAUAGAGUACUAAUGACGGUACCUGAAGAAUAAGCACCGGCUAACUACGUGCCAGCAGCCGCGGUAAUACGUAGGGUGCAAGCGUUAAUCGGAAUUACUGGGCGUAAAGCGUGCGCAGGCGGUGUUGUAAGUCAGAUGUGAAAUCCCCGGGCUCAACCUGGGAAUGGCAUUUGAGACUGGCACGCUUGAGUGUGUCAAGGGG
Molecule: ribosomal RNA, 552 nt
Filed under: uncultured bacterium
Lineage: Bacteria
Description: bacterial SSU rRNA
Rfam family: Bacterial small subunit ribosomal RNA
Source: RNAcentral